CAUUAACUAACUUUGUCUUUUUUUCUUUUCUUUUCUUUUCCUUUUCUUUCUGGCAGGUUGGGGUAAGGAGAAAGAUGUCACUCUCUUUCUUUGUCUAAGUAUAAAUUGGAGUGGAGGAAUGACCAGACUGUGUUGAUGGUACUGAUUUCGGAGCCAUCUUGAACCUCAGUAAAAAACCUAUUUCUGUGUUGCCAGAAAGCUCUCCAGCCAUCAACUUGCCUACAUGUGAGAAGGCCUCAUUAUCAGAAACCUCUGUGGAAACUCAGCAUCUACCUUUGGCUGGUCUUGUUUCUUGUACUCCUAGAAUUUUCAGAAUGUUCUCCAAAGGGAUUGUUUUGCUUGCCGAUAAAAAGAGACACUUGGGAGCACCAUACUCUCUCCUAUUCCUCUGAAUAUCAUGUUUCCUUAUGACACCUGAAACUCUGAUGCCUUCUGGGUCCAUGAAAGCAGUGAGAUGAGCACAGGAAACCAUGCUGAGGAUGGUUGAGCAAAAAGGUGACAUUGAGCCACUGGAUUAACCUGCCCAGAAACAGGAUAUCUUCAGAUUUCUUGUUAAGUAAGAAAAUGUAAUUUCAUUGAUUCUAAGUUACACUUUCUUUUAUUAGUUCAACAUCUCUGAAAUCAGAACAUAUUUUGCCAUGGUAAUACCUUACCAUCACUGUUGGCCAGGGGCCAUCCUCACAUAGGUGUCAUUGCCUAUGCAUAUGUCAACUUGAUUGCUAUUCCCUGUGAUAUGACUGACAACUGCAGCCCCUUGACAGUUCAGUCAACAAACCAUUGAAGAGUAUUAGGGUAAGAAUACUGCUUUCUAUCUGAAAACUUUCCAUUGACAUCUUCUGAAAAGACAAAGAAAGUAUCAGCAUCUAAAUUUGCAUAAUAAUCAUCAGUGCUUAGAAGGAAAUCCAAGUGGCAAUAGUGGGUCAAUCUUUUAAGAAAUGUUACAUUACCAGUACUUUCGAUACUACAGAGGAUGAUAUUGGGAGGAAAAAGCAUCAAUAUUUAUGGCUCUGAAUUUUAAAAGUGAGUUUGAAGAUUCAGACUCUGAAAGUGAAGACAUUUUAUUGUGUGUGUGUGUUUGUGCGUGCGUGCAUGUGUGUAUGACUGUG
Molecule: long non-coding RNA, 1106 nt
Filed under: Macaca mulatta (Rhesus monkey)
Lineage: Eukaryota; Metazoa; Chordata; Mammalia; Primates; Cercopithecidae
Description: lncRNA (ENSMMUG00000065056.1)
Source: RNAcentral